GUGUUGUAUGAAAGGAGAGAAGGUUAGCACUCCCCUUGACAAGGAUGGAAGAGGCCCUCGGGCCUGACAACAUAUGCUCUGGUUAAGGCAUUGCCACCUACCGUGGCAUCUAACCAUCGUUUGGC
Molecule: non-coding RNA, 125 nt
Filed under: Macaca fascicularis (crab-eating macaque)
Lineage: Eukaryota; Metazoa; Chordata; Mammalia; Primates; Cercopithecidae
Source: RNAcentral